Long non-coding RNA from Crotalus tigris (Tiger rattlesnake), 471 nucleotides. RefSeq lists it as uncharacterized. The record is from RefSeq and is a predicted model, not a curated record. Lineage: Eukaryota; Metazoa; Chordata; Lepidosauria; Squamata; Viperidae. The transcript has 3 exons.
AGCUAAUAACCUAGGACGGAAAUAAUGAAUAUGGCAGCACAUUAAUCUGACUUUCUAAGUGGAGGUGAAAAGGAUCAGAAUCUGUAAGGAGGGGAAAAAAGCUGAUCUAAACUUAUCUUAUGGAGUCUAAAGUACACAGCAAGAAGUAACAAUCUCCUGUGCAACAGUAUGAACAGGAAAAAUAGCACUCAGCAGCAGUUAAUCAAUAAGUAUAGAACAUUUAAACUUCUAAGGAAGAAAUGGUGAACUGAAGAUGGCUCCAAUGAGAACAAAGGUGAUGAUCGUGGUGGAAUGAAAAGCCAACAAGUGGAUCAGCUAUUUGGAAUUCUUCUCAGAACAAGAAGAGGAUUUGUUCAUGACCUCCAGAUAGUUGCUCCUUGUAAGGAGACUACAAGGCAGUAAUUUCUGGUGGAUUUAGAGGUCUGGCAAAUGAGGGAAUAGCCAUCUUGCUCAAAAUAUGGUUGGCAUCUU